RNAcentral lists this long non-coding RNA (629 nucleotides) under Dromaius novaehollandiae (emu). RNAcentral's name for it is "lncRNA (ENSDNVG00000010907.1)". Lineage: Eukaryota; Metazoa; Chordata; Aves; Casuariiformes; Dromaiidae. The record is from RNAcentral.
CGUGGUAGGUCUGAAACUUGCGGCUUAGGCCCUUUUGUUUAUCCGCAGGCUUCUCUGUAUCCCAUCACGCUGAAUUCCUGGUUGGCUUGUUUAUGAUUUGUCGCCGUGGUCUCUUCGUGAUGUUUUUAUGAGUGGUGUUUCUUACAUCGAAAAAAGGAAGCAUGAUAUGACURUAAGUGGAAGAGUGGUUCUUCAGCAGUAAUAUGGCAGUGGAAAAUUAAGGACCCUCAGGAAGCCUUUUAAAUACAAUGAUAAAGGAAGAAAUGACAAAUGAUACCAGAAAAAAUUUACUAAGUAUAAAGGAACGCUCAUAAGAAAUAAGAAGAGAUUUGAUUCUGGACUAUUUUUUGGUUGGAAAAUCCUAUACCCUGCUGAUAGAGAAACCAGAUUUGAGUUCUUCUUUCUCCUUUCUCAUUUGAAAAGUGCAGUAGUGGCUCCCCAUUCACUUCAGUAAGUAUUGCUUUGAAAAUAAUGAGUUUGCUUAAGAUCUUGUUGAUGCUUUGGCCAUAUUUGAGUUGAGUAUAUUUGCUUAAAGGGUAGUGUGAUACUGUUAAGGAUUUUGAUGGCAUGGUUUCUUCCCUGAAAGGAGUGGAAGCUUGAUUUUUUUCAAAAGCUUAAGAAAUGUGUUA